Long non-coding RNA from Girardinichthys multiradiatus, 1388 nucleotides. RefSeq lists it as uncharacterized. The record is from RefSeq and is a predicted model, not a curated record. The transcript has 4 exons. NCBI's taxonomy places the organism in Eukaryota, Metazoa, Chordata, Actinopteri, Cyprinodontiformes, Goodeidae.
CUGAGCUGUGCAGUUUGUGCUGCCAGUGAGCGUGCAAAGAAGAGGAGGAGGAACAAGCGUGCACCGGAGAAAGGAGGAGGAGUAAAGGGAGAGAGAGUGCAAACAAUGUCAUUCUGUUCAGGAGGCAGUGCUGCAGUCAACUUUGCCGCGCCAUGAAAGCACAUCACCAGUGACCAAGAGGCUCAGAGAGAGUGAAGAGAAGUUUUCAUCCUCUCCUCCUCCAGUGUGAUGCAGUGCCAGACUCUUCUGUAGAUUUCAUCUCCAGUCGCCGGCAGCGGGACAAAGAUGAAGCUAAAGGCACAGCUCAAAGCACUUUGAGUUGCCUCUGGGUGCAGCAUCGUAGUGACUUUGCUCUCUCAUUGAUAAGGUCAUCGGCCUGUUGAUGGGCUGCAGCAGAGAGUGACGCCGCAGAUGUAUAGUACACUACUUUAAGAGACGCUCAGGCAGCCAAACUCAGACCAUAUUGUAGCAGGCUCAUGCACCGGGUUCGACCGCUGGUGGCAUGUUGGAACAUGUCUUGACUUGUGCUGUCUGGGUGAAGCAGACACACAGAAAGAGAACCCACAGAGAGAAAGAGAAGAAGCUGGUGGUCAACUGGUACCUCGUAUGAAGUGACCCUGCGGCGUCCUGCACAUUUGGGUGGAUGGAGGAGCUCUGCCGCUGCCUUGCUCCCUGGUCUUUGUGAGACAUCCUACCACCGAAAAGCUGGGAAAGUGAGGUACAAACGUCAGCAGCGCCACACUCAAGAGGUCAAACUGUGCAGCUAAAACCAGCCAAUUUCCUGCUGAGAGAAAGUAGGUGGACAGACGGGUGGACGGACAGUAGGCCGCGGCUGCUGUGGGUGUUUCUCUGGCAGUGUCUUAGCUGGUUGUUGUGAGGAGUGAGAACGAAGCAAUCAGCAAGUAUACUGCCGCAGAAAUUCUUCGCAAUAAGAAGCCCUGGGAUCAAUAAUCAUCACGAGAUGCAAAGAGGAACCCAGAUUUUCACGGCAGACAGCGCCAAAACGAACCCGGCUGCGGCUGUAAAUUUGAAAUGAAAAGCGGAUUAAGUGAAGACAGAUCGACAGAGCAUGGCCUUUCUGUUACCGACAUUUACAUUUGGAUCAAGGCAUCAAACCUCUUAACUCUGUAGUUCCAUGAUCGUCUGCUGCCAUCUUGUGACUGGAAGCAACCUCUCUGCAUGCUUUUGUUCAUCCAAGUCCACACCAACUCACGUUAAUCUUUUUUAGUUUCUAUUGUCAAAAAGUAUGUGCAUGGCUUAAUAGGACUAGAUUCCUUUUUUCAGUUGCAAGUGCAUCUCGGUCAAUUUUAUUAAUGUAUUGGCUGCUGCCAAAUCAUUUCAUUAUAUUUUAAUUGUAAAAAGGUGUAAAUAAAUGUUUCAUAAUAACA